GGCCUUUUGAUUAUAAUUUAAGGUUUAACCUGCCCAAUGAUAAUAAAUAUUUAAUGGCCGCGGUAUUUUGACCGUGCAAAGGUAGCAUAAUCAUUAGUUUUUUAAUUGAAAGCUUGUAUGAAGGGUUUGAUGAGAAAAUUUCUGUCUCUAUUUAAAUUUAUUAAAAUUUUAUUUUUAAGUAAAAAAGCUUAAAUUUAUAUUGAAGACGAGAAGACCCUAUAGAGUUUAAUAUUAAGUUUAAUUAAGAUAUUUUUAGGAUUUAAAUUUUAAGUAGAUUUUAUUUAUUUGAUUGGGGUGAUUGAAAAAUUUAAAUAACUUUUUUUAAAAAAGAACAUAAAUUUAUGAAUAAAUGAUCCUUUUUUAAAGAUUAAAAGAAUAAAUUACCUUAGGGAUAACAGCGUAAUUUUUUUUUAGAGUUCAAAUUAAAAAGAAAGAUUGCGACCUCGAUGUUGGAUUAAAGGAAAUUAUUGGUGUAGAAGCUAAUAAAUUAGGUCUGUUCGACCUUUAAAAUUUUACAUGAUCUGAGUUUAAACCGGUGUGAG
Molecule: ribosomal RNA, 542 nt
Filed under: Acalles sylvosus
Lineage: Eukaryota; Metazoa; Arthropoda; Insecta; Coleoptera; Curculionidae
Description: partial 16S ribosomal RNA
Rfam family: Bacterial large subunit ribosomal RNA (bases 391-542)
Source: RNAcentral